UUGCUGAUAAAACAGGGGAGAUACCAUGAUCACGAAGGUGGUUUUCCCAGGGUGAGGCUUAUCCAUUGCACUCCGGAUGUGCUGACCCCUGCGAUUUCCCCAAAUGUGGGAAACUCGACUGCAUAAUUUGUGGUAGUAGGGGACUGUGUUCGUGCUUUCCCCUG
Cercocebus atys (sooty mangabey) is the source of this 164-nucleotide small nuclear RNA. Its record names the gene U1. It matches the Rfam family "U1 spliceosomal RNA". Rfam says of the family: U1 is a small nuclear RNA (snRNA) component of the spliceosome (involved in pre-mRNA splicing). Its 5' end forms complementary base pairs with the 5' splice junction, thus defining the 5' donor site of an intron. Lineage: Eukaryota; Metazoa; Chordata; Mammalia; Primates; Cercopithecidae. The record is from Ensembl.